UUACUGGGCGUAAAGCGCGCGUAGGCGGAUUAGUCAGUCAGGGGUGAAAUCCCGGGGCUCAACCCCGGAACUGCCUUUCAUACUGGCGAUCUGGAGUUCGAGAGAGGGGAGUGGAAUUCCGAGUGUAGAGGUGAAAUUCGUAGAUAUUCGGAGGAACACCAGUGGCGAAGGCGGCUCACUGGCUCGAUACUGACGCUGAGGUGCGAAAGUGUGGGGAGCAAACAGGAUUAGAUACCCUGGUAGUCCACACCGUAAACGAUGAAUGCCAGUCGUCGGGUAGCAUGCUGCUCGGUGACACACCUAACGGAUUAAGCAUUCCGCCUGGGGAGUACGGUCGCAAGAUUAAAACUCAUAGGAAUUGACGGGGGCCCGCACAAGAGGUGGAGCAUGUGGUUUAAUUCGAAGCAACGCGCAGAACCUUACCAACCCUUGACAUCCUGAUCGCGGUUACCGGAGACGGUUUCCUUCAAUUCGGCUGGAUCAGUGACAGGUGCUGCAUGRCUGUCGUCAGCUCGUGUCGUGAGAUGUUCGGUUAAGUCCGGCARCGAGCGCAACCCACAUCCUUAGUUGCCAGCAGUUCGGCUGGGCACUCUAGGGAAWCUGCCGAUGAUAAGUCGGAGGAAGGUGUGGAUSACGUCAAGUCCUCAUGGCCCUUACGGGUUGGGCUACACACGUGCUACAAUGGCAGUSACAAUGGGUUAAUCCCUAAAAVCUGUCUCAGUUCGGAUUGUUCUCUGCAACUCGAGAGCAUGAAGUCGGUAGCGCUAGUGAUCGUGUAACAGCAUGACACGGUGAAUACGUUCCCGGGCCUUGUACACACCGCCCGUCACACCAUGGGAGUUGGUUCUACCCGACGACGCUGCGCUAACCUUCGGGGGGCAGGCGGCCACGGUAGGAUCAGAGAAAUGGGGUGAAGUGGUA
This 921-nucleotide ribosomal RNA is filed under the name uncultured bacterium. RNAcentral's name for it is "bacterial SSU rRNA". It matches the Rfam family "Bacterial small subunit ribosomal RNA", at positions 551 to 1490 of the family's 1533-position model. The record is from RNAcentral.